This 242-nucleotide non-coding RNA is filed under the name Oenococcus alcoholitolerans. RNAcentral describes it as "T-box sequence". It matches the Rfam family "T-box leader". From Rfam's summary of the family: Uncharged tRNA acts as the effector for transcription antitermination of genes in the T-box leader family. T-boxes are found upstream of many aminoacyl-tRNA synthetase genes and some amino acid biosynthetic genes usually in Gram-positive bacteria. The record is from RNAcentral. Lineage: Bacteria; Bacillati; Bacillota; Bacilli; Lactobacillales; Lactobacillaceae.
CUAAACAAGUCGAUUCGGAAAGUAAACUAACGGGUUUUCUCAGAGAGCUGGAGAUGGUGUGAACCGGCAAAAACAUCGUUUAGUUGAAAAUGGCCGAUGAUUGGCUGGUGCGAAUCUUUAGGAAAAGCAUCAGACGGAGUGGCUCGCGUUAUAGAGCACGCCAUUUUUAAAAAGAUGGUUGCAAAGCUUAUUUAGGCAACUAAAUAAGAAAUCAGAAUGGUAACGCGAAAUUCGCUUCUGUA